GUGCCACACAUUUGAGGCCGGCCUGGGCUACAGAGUGGAGACCCUGUCUUAAAACAAGAACAGCAAUAAAAAGGGAGGCUCCCUGGGCAAAAAUGCAAGCAUGAGCACCUGAGGUCAAAUGCCAAGACCCCACAUUAAUGCCAGUGUGUAACACAAUGGUGGUAAUCUCGGCAGUCCUCCGGGGAGACAAGAGACUCUCUGCAAGUUCACUGCCAGCUAGACAGGAGUAUGUGGUGAAAAAACAAACCAAAACCCAUAAAAAGAAACAAAAUCAAAACAAAAGAGACCCUCAAACCAAGUGGAAUAAGGAUGAACCUCCAACCCCCAGGCUCCUGAGCUCCUUGCACAUCCUUUGGUCCAUGUGCACCUGCAUUCACACACAAAGAGCAUCCUUUUGUUGCAUCACCCAUAUUUUAGUGUAAAAAUCUCUCCAGGCAGGUAGCAUUGGUAUGCAGUCACAAGUGAGAACAGCAGCUUUGUCCAGUGUGGCUUGCCUCAGAUUUCCACACUCAUCAAAGGAGCUUAACAUCAGAACUUGUAGCUAGUGGCAGAUUGUGAGCAGUAUCUACCGCCCAGCUGGCAGCUACUACCAUCCAUACUGGCUCAGUCACCCCGAGGUCACCAACCUCUCUCUUUCAGCCAUAUGAACAAACAAGGUCCAAGGUGGGUGGCCCUGGGGCUUACUACUAAAAUGGGCUCACCUCCCUUCAGGUAGGCAUGGGGUACGUUGGCAUCCAGAAACAUGGCUUCCCCAGGCUUCAAGGUGAGCAGGUUCAGGAAGUAGAUGGCGAAACAUCCGAUAUCACCUGGGUGCUGUUGGUGCAGCUGCAGCAAGAGCUUCCCAUAAAUGUCCUCCAUAUUGUUUCCGUCAAAUACUGAGGGUCACAGAGCAUCCCAAGGCCACUAAGACACACAUGGUAUCCACAGCUUUACCCUGACAAGGGAGCCUUGGUGAACAGUCCCUACCUGACAAAUGCAGCUCUUAGACGGGGCCUCUCUUAAACAUCCCUCAUCCCUCAUCUUUGCACAAAAAUAUCAUCUCUCACCUCAACCAUGCACAGGUCUGGCCUGGCUACAACAGCUGGGCAUUGUGGUACACAGCUAUAAUCCUAGCACCAAGGCAGAAGGCUCACCGUGAGUGAGAGGUAGACAGAUUGGACUGCUGAGUAUGACCCUUUCUCAAAUGAUACAGGCUAGGGACGUACCUUAGUUGGUAGAGUGCUUGCCCAACAUGCAUGAAACCCUAGGUUUGAUCCUCUGCCCCACAAAAAAACAGGGAUGGUGGCACAUGCCUGUAAUCCCAGCACCCGGAAGAUGGAGGGAGGAGUGUCAGAACAGUAAGGCCAUUCGUGCCUAUAUAACAUGUUUGAGGCCAGCCUUGGAUACAAGAAACUUUCUCUCAAAGAGAGGUAUGGGGGAAAAUUAUAUGAAAAAAUAUUUAAAACACAUAUACCACUAGCAUCUGUUUAGAUUUUGACAAAAAACAUUGUCUCCAGACAAUUGCCCAAAAACAGUCUCCCAAUUAGGGACCACUUAUUGCUCUUAAGCUCAAAAUCUAUUACAGACAGGGAGGUAACCCGAAAGCUUCAUGGAGAGUGUCAAAUUCCCUACUAACCAAGGACUUCCCCUUUGUUAGCACUUCAGCUCCCUCCCAUGUCUCAGGAAGUCUGUCCAUCUUAGCAAACUGGGAUGGUUGCCUACCCCAGAAAGCACAGGGCACAACAUGCUAUGGGCCAAAAUGUGCCCUGGAAACUGACCAAGAGAAGAGGCGCUCAGCCUGGGCCAGAGGGAGGAGGGAGGCGUCUUGGGAGGGCAGGAGCAGGGUGAGCUGAGUUUCCUGGAACACGCAGAUAAGGGAGGAGUGUAUUCAGAAUGUGCAGGACCCACAAUAAAGAAAGCAGUGUUCGUUCC
Molecule: long non-coding RNA, 1911 nt
Filed under: Mus musculus (house mouse)
Lineage: Eukaryota; Metazoa; Chordata; Mammalia; Rodentia; Muridae
Description: long non-coding RNA chr9:57545692-57547603
Source: RNAcentral